RNAcentral lists this ribosomal RNA (404 nucleotides) under Actinomycetes bacterium. Its description in RNAcentral is "Actinobacteria bacterium partial 16S ribosomal RNA". It matches the Rfam family "Bacterial small subunit ribosomal RNA", at positions 355 to 776 of the family's 1533-position model. The record is from RNAcentral. Lineage: Bacteria; Bacillati; Actinomycetota; Actinomycetes.
UGGGGAAUAUUGGACAAUGGGCGCAAGCCUGAUCCAGCCAUGCCGCGUGAGUGAUGAAGGCCCUAGGGUUGUAAAGCUCUUUCACCGGUGAAGAUAAUGACGGUAACCGGAGAAGAAGCCCCGGCUAACUCCGUGCCAGCAGCCGCGGUAAUACGCAGGGGGCUAGCGUUGUUCGGAUUUACUGGGCGUAAAGCGCACGUAGGCGGACUAUUAAGUCAGGGGUGAAAUCCCGGGGCUCAACCCCGGAACUGCCAUUGAUACUGGUAGUCUUGAGUUCGAGGGAGGUGAGUGGAAUUCCGAGUGUAGAGGUGAAAUUCGGAGAUAUUCGGAGGAACACCAGUGGCGAAGGCGGCUCACUGGCUCGAUACUGACGCUGAGGUGCGAAAGCGUGGGGAGCAAACAGG